Molecule: long non-coding RNA, 156 nt
Organism: Beta vulgaris subsp. vulgaris (sugar beet)
Lineage: Eukaryota; Viridiplantae; Streptophyta; Magnoliopsida; Caryophyllales; Amaranthaceae
Exons: 3
Source: RefSeq, a predicted model, not a curated record
CGGAACGUUCGAUUAAGACAGCGAAAAUUCUCCGUUACAAGGUCCCAAUUUCAUAAGCGGAACGUUCGAUUAAGACAGCGAAAAUUCUCCGUUACAAGACUAGGUGUGCUGGUGCUGCUGCAUAAUCUCGAGCAUACGGGGACUAGGCUUGGGUAU